AGAGUUUGAUCCUGGCUCAGAACGAACGCUGGCGGCGCGUUUUAAGCAUGCAAGUCGAACGGUAUAUGGAAGCUUGCUUCCAUAGAGAGUGGCGAACGGGUGAGUAACACGUAGGUAAUCUACCUCUGGAUGGGGGAUAGUCCACGGAAACGUGGUGUAAUACCGCAUGAUCUCUGUAUUCGUAAAGUUUAUGGAGGAAAGGUGCAAUUGUACCGUCUAGAGGUGAGCCUGCGGUCCAUUAGCUUGUUGGUGGGGUAAGGGCCUACCAAGGCGACGAUGGAUAGCCGGCCUGAGAGGGUGAACGGCCACACUGGGACUGAGACACGGCCCAGACUCCUACGGGAGGCAUCAGCUAAGAAUCUUCCGCAAUGGGCGAAAGCCUGACGGAGCGACGCCGCGUGGACGAGGAAGGCCGAAAGGUUGUGAAGUCCUUUUCUUGGGGAAGAAUAAAGCGAAGAGUGGAAUGCUUCGCAGAUGACAUUAACUUUGGAAUAAGCCCCGGCCAAUUACGUGCCAGCAGCCGCGGUAAUACGUAUGGGGCGAGCGUUGUUCGGAAUUAUUGGGCGUAAAGGGCGUGUAGGCGGUUUUAUAAGCCUGGUGUGAAAUCCCACAGCUCAACUGUGGAGACGCGCUGGGAACUGUAAGACUAGAGUUUAGGAGGGGAAGCUGGAAUUCCUGGUGUAGGGGUGAAAUCUGUAGAUAUCAGGAAGAACACCGAUGGCGAAGGCAAGCUUCUAGCCAUAGACUGACGCUGAGGCGCGAAAGCGUGGGGAGCGAACAGGAUUAGAUACCCUGGUAGUCCACGCUGUAAACGAUGUGCACUGGGUGUAGGAGACGUUGAGUUUUCUGUGCCGUAGCUAACGCGUUAAGUGCACCGCCUGGGGAGUAUGCUCGCAAGGGUGAAACUCAAAGGAAUUGACGGGGGCCCCACAUGCGGUGGAGCAUGUGGUUUAAUUCGAUGAUACGCGAGGAACCUUACCAGGGCUUGACAUGUACCUGAAGGCUUAAGAGAUUAAGUCGACCUUUAGGGGACGGGUACACAGGUGCUGCAUGGCUGUCGUCAGCUCGUGUCGUGAGAUGUUGGGUUAAGUCCCGCAACGAGCGCAACCCUUACUGUCUGUUACCAGCAGGUCUUCGGACGCUGGGGACUCAGAUAGAACUGCCGGUGACAAACCGGAGGAAGGUGGGGAUGACGUCAAGUCAUCAUGGCCCG
RNAcentral lists this ribosomal RNA (1213 nucleotides) under metagenome. RNAcentral's name for it is "bacterial SSU rRNA". It matches the Rfam family "Bacterial small subunit ribosomal RNA", at positions 8 to 1202 of the family's 1533-position model. The record is from RNAcentral.